RNAcentral lists this ribosomal RNA (279 nucleotides) under uncultured bacterium. RNAcentral's name for it is "partial 16S ribosomal RNA". It matches the Rfam family "Bacterial small subunit ribosomal RNA", at positions 506 to 784 of the family's 1533-position model. The record is from RNAcentral.
UGCCAGCCGCCGCGGUAAUACGGAGGGUGCGAGCGUUAAUCGGAAUUACUGGGCGUAAAGCGUACGUAGGCGGACUAGUCAAUCAGAGGUGAAAUCCCAGGGCUCAACCCUGGAACUGCCUUUGAUACUGCUAGUCUUGAGUUCGAGAGAGGUGAGUGGAAUUCCGAGUGUAGAGGUGAAAUUCGUAGAUAUUCGGAGGAACACCAGUGGCGAAGGCGGCUCACUGGCUCGAUACUGACGCUGAGGUGCGAAAGCGUGGGGAGCAAACAGGAUUAGAUA